RNAcentral lists this long non-coding RNA (232 nucleotides) under Capsicum annuum. Its description in RNAcentral is "long non-coding RNA (CANN_LNC021210)". The record is from RNAcentral. Lineage: Eukaryota; Viridiplantae; Streptophyta; Magnoliopsida; Solanales; Solanaceae.
CCCAUCUCCCCCUUAGAUAAAAGUCACACUCCUAGACUUGUAGACAUAACCGCACAUCAAAUAUCUGUAGCCACAACUUCAAUGCAAAUGAGACAUCACCAUAAACUUCAACUCUAAAUUCUUCCUGAUGAACUAUACUGGGAAGGCCUUGCUUUCUGAAAAAUGCUACUCUUAACUUUCGCUAACCUCUAUAGCCAUCACUCUACAAUUCCCACUCUCAUGAGCGUACGCA